Molecule: long non-coding RNA, 2554 nt
Organism: Rhineura floridana
Lineage: Eukaryota; Metazoa; Chordata; Lepidosauria; Squamata; Rhineuridae
Exons: 3
Source: RefSeq, a predicted model, not a curated record
UCAGACAUUUUGGACUGCAACUCCUCCUUUGUUGUUCUUCAGUUCGGCCAUCAAAUCCAUCCACACCAUCGCUGGGAUAUUUAUGCUUGGCUCGUCCAAUUCUGACCCUGCUGCUCCCACUCUCUUUCUAUUGCAAGAAAAGUGCAUCAAAAUGUCUUCAAGAAUCCCAGGAAUGUGAAACCCAGGAGGAAAUUGCAUUAGGCAAUGUUGGAACAGUCGUGCACCAAACGGCAGCCUUUCCAAUCAAGGACUCGGAGGAUGUCACCUAUGCCCUCAUCGCCCCCUACUCUGCUGAAGCUCCCCCAGGAUCCAGGAUGGAAAACGCAGAUGAGCCAGGAGAAGAGGAGAUGAUGUUGUACAGCAAGGUUCUGUUUCAGCCCAUUGGCAGCAGAGCAGCAAAAUAAGGAGGCUGCAACAGUUAUUUUGGACAGGGUGUGUGUGUAAGUUGGGACGGGUGGCAUUUCCUUGUCAUAGUGUGUAAAUGGGGAGGCUUUGCCGGGCCUGCUGUUCAGACAGGGACUGAUGUGCAGGGGGCUGCUCCAUUUCUGUCUGAACUUAGCUGCUGGGAAUAAUGCCCAUGACUGACCCAGUUAGGCUGCAGCAUUAGCUUCUAGCUGGGCCAGCAGGACAUUAGAAUUGCUCUGUUAGGUUGCCUUUUCUGUGUCUCUGUAGGUUCCUAGGUCUGUUGCCCAACGGAAACAACCUUAAAUUAAGUUGAAGCACUUUUAAGGGGCAAAAAUAUGCAAUAGAUCAGGAAUUGAUGGAGACUUACUUCUUCCCCCCCCCAUGUAGUCCACACGCAGUCUAGAUCUAUUGCAUAUUGUUGCGUGCACCCCAAUCUCUGAGCGGAGAGAGACUUCCAGGGGUGCCAGGGCUUACCCAGGGUUCGGUUUCCUUGGAAUGAAGGUCAGCAGAGGUCAUGGAAUUGUUUUUAAAUAUUUUUAAGAAGAUUUUAAAGAUCUUUUUAAAGAUGCUUUGUUUUUAAGAUGUUCUAAAGAUUUUGUUUAGUGUUUUAUUGGUUGUUUGCCACCCUGGGCUCCUUAGGGAGGAAGGGCAGGAUAUAAAUGUAAUAAAUAAAUAAUAAUUAUUAUUCAAAUCCAAUUUGUUAAAAUCAUCAGAGACCUCCCUUUCUGAGCUAUAAGUGUGCACAACCUGGGGCCAGAGAGGUACCUCUGAAGGGCUGUAACUCAGUGGUAGAGCAUCUGCUGAAGCUGGUAAAUGGUACUCCUGGGCCACUGCUGAUGGAGAUGGAUACAGGAGCACCCACACACUACAAAACUGCUCUUUCAGGGGGAGUCCAUCCCUAUUGGAAGCAGGCAGCUGACCAAUUACCUGGACUCAGGAACGGUCCACCCACAGCACCUCCAUCUUGUCAAGAUUCAGAGCCUGUUGGUUAGUUGGCUCUCAUCCAGCUCACUGCCAUUGAGUCCUGGCUCUAGUCCAGAGCUUGCGGGGCCUCUCCUGAUGCAGACGUAAUAGAGAAACAGAGCUGGGUGUCAUCAUUUGUUUUGCAUGCAGAAGGUUGCAGGCUCGAUCCUCCGCAUCACCAGGCAGUGCUCAGAAAGAGUCCCUGCUGGAAACUCUAGAGAGCUGCUGCCAGUCAGUGUAGACAAUACUGAGCCAGGUGGACCAACAGUCUAACCACAAAGUGUGUAUAUUAGGUAGAAUUGCACACAGAAAUAAAUAUUAGAAGAAAUGCACACUAAAAUGUACAUGAAUGUUCAUGAGGAGUUUAAAAAAAAUUGUAAACCUGGGACCUAUUGGUGAAGGAGGGGGAUUUUAUUGUUGUUGUUGUUACCAUUUACCUAGAGAGGUAGUGGGCUCUCCAACACUGGAGGCCUUCAAGAGGCAGCUGGACAGCCAUCUGUCGGGAAUGCUUUGAUUUGGAUUCCUCCAUUGAGCAGGGGGUUGGACUUGAUGGCCUUAUAGGCCCCUUCCAACUCUACUAUUCUGUGAUUCUAUUAUUAUUAUUAUUAUUAUUAUAAAAAAUCUGGUGCAGAAAUGUGGUGAACUGAACUAAAGACUGGAAAGAUGGCAAACUCAGCAAAACCAAAACUGAGGGAUUUGUACAUCUUUCGAGUGCUCUGUAUGCCCCUGGGGCAUGGUCAGUGUCUAAAGAGGUACAGGAUAUGGCAUAGUCACUGCCCUCAAACUUGUAUUCUUCCUUGUGCUGGUGGAACAGAUACGUUGCCCAGGCAGAGAUGCAGUAUCUCCACAGCUGCACUUCUUUCCGGUCAGAAAUCAUUGUUUGUUAUUAACUUUGUUUUGAUGUUUGUGGAUGUUCACACACUCUGAAAUUAUAUUCCUGUGGUGUGACGACAACGAGAUGGACGAUGGGAGUGGCUCCAGGGGGCCCUUAAGGUUGCAAAGAGACUUGUACUACCAAGCUGGAAGGAUAAACACUCCUGAUCCACUGGAGAUCUCACUCCCCUUUCUCCGUUUGAACAUGUGGCUUAUAAUGAUCUCAUUUAGAUACCUGUUUGGGCAUAUGGACUACCUAAAUUAAUCUAUAUGUUUAAGUGGAAAUAAAAAGAAAUAAAUAUUGUUAAUGAGG